AGCUCCAAUAGCGUAUAUUAAAGUUGCUGCAGUUAAAAAGCUCGUAGUUGGAUUUCUGGUUUGAUACAGUUUACCGGCCACGGUUUCGUGUGUUAGUGUUUUCUGUUCUGACCAUCCUUCCAAUCGCUGUCACUUUUCUUCAUUGAUUUGUGUGUGGUAUUGGAUCUUUUACUUUGAAAAAAUUAGAGUGUUUCAAGCAGGCUUAUGCUAUGAAUACAUUAGCAUGGAAUAAUAAUUUAGGACUUCGGUUCUAUUUUGUUGGUUUCUAGGACUGAAGUAAUGAUUGAUAGGGAUAGUUGGGGGUGCUAGUAUUCAGCGGCCAGAGGUGAAAUUCUCGGAUUCGCUGAAGACUAACUUAUGCGAAAGCAUUCACCAAGGAUGUCUUCU
This 387-nucleotide ribosomal RNA is filed under the name uncultured Cercozoa. RNAcentral's name for it is "SSU rRNA". It matches the Rfam family "Eukaryotic small subunit ribosomal RNA", at positions 587 to 972 of the family's 1831-position model. The record is from RNAcentral. Lineage: Eukaryota; Cercozoa.